This 558-nucleotide ribosomal RNA is filed under the name uncultured eukaryote. RNAcentral describes it as "SSU rRNA". It matches the Rfam family "Eukaryotic small subunit ribosomal RNA", at positions 4 to 567 of the family's 1831-position model. The record is from RNAcentral.
CUGGUUGAUCCUGCCAGUAGUCAUAUGGACGUCUCAAAGAUUAAGCCAUGCAUGUCUAAGUAUAAGCAAUUUAUACAGUGAAACUGCGAAUGGCUCAUUAAAUCAGUUAUCGUUUAUUUGAUAGUACCUUACUACUUGGAUAACCGUGGUAAUUCUAGAGCUAAUACAUGCUUAAAAUCCCGACUGUUUGGAAGGGAUGUAUUUAUUARAUAAAAAAUCAAUGUCUUCGGACUCUUUGAUGAUUCAUAAUAACUUUUCGAAUCGCAUGGCCUUGUGCUGGCGAUGGUUCAUUCAAAUUUCUGCCCUAUCAACUUUCGAUGGUAGGAUAGUGGCCUACCAUGGUUUCAACGGGUAACGGGGAAUAAGGGUUCGAUUCCGGAGAGGGAGCCUGAGAAACGGCUACCACAUCCAAGGAAGGCAGCAGGCGCGCAAAUUACCUAAUCCCGACACGGGGAGGUAGUGACAAUAAAUAACGAUACAGGGCCCUUUCGGGUCUUGUAAUUGGAAUGAGUACAAUGUAAAUACCUUAACGAGGAACAAUUGGAGGGCAAGUCUGGU